This 253-nucleotide ribosomal RNA is filed under the name uncultured bacterium. RNAcentral's name for it is "partial 16S ribosomal RNA". It matches the Rfam family "Bacterial small subunit ribosomal RNA", at positions 524 to 776 of the family's 1533-position model. The record is from RNAcentral.
AACGUAGGAGACAAACGUUAUCCGGAGUUACUGGGCGUAAAGGGCGUGUAGGUGGUUUUGUAAGUCUGGCGUGAAAUAUCUCGGCUUAACCGAGGCAGGUCGUCGGAUACUGCAAGACUAGAGGACGGUAGAGGCGUGUGGAAUUCCGGGUGUAGUGGUGAAAUGCGUAGAGAUCCGGAGGAACACCAGUGGCGAAGGCGGCGAUCUGGACAGAUAUUGACGCUGAGGUGCGAAAGCGUGGGGAGCAAACAGG